AAGUCGUAACAAGGUAACCGUAGGUGAACCUGCGGUUGGAUCAUUAAAAAUCCUUGAGAUUGGGUCGCAAGAUGCCUCUCUCGACUUGGCCUUUGGCCUUGAACCCACUGUGAACUGUGAUUGUCUCUGGCAGAAGCUUUUGUGACUGCCAGCCAAUUCUUGAACCUGAUUUUGUUUGUCUUAAUGAAAUUCUAAUGAAUACAACUUUUGACAAUGGAUCUCUAGGCUCUC
Molecule: unclassified non-coding RNA, 231 nt
Filed under: fungal sp.
Lineage: Eukaryota; Fungi
Description: partial internal transcribed spacer region
Rfam family: Eukaryotic small subunit ribosomal RNA (bases 1-46)
Source: RNAcentral